This 345-nucleotide unclassified non-coding RNA is filed under the name soil metagenome. RNAcentral's name for it is "partial contains 5.8S ribosomal RNA, internal transcribed spacer 2, and large subunit ribosomal RNA". The stretch from base 1 to 120 matches the Rfam family "5.8S ribosomal RNA", at positions 35 to 154 of the family's 154-position model. The record is from RNAcentral.
GAUGAAGAACGCAGUGAAAUGCGAUACGUAAUGUGAAUUGCAGAAUUCAGUGUAUCAUCGAGUCUUUGAACGCACAUUGCGCCCCCUGGUAUUCCGGGGGGCAUGCCUGUCCGAGCGUCAUUGCUGCCCUCAAGCACGGCUUGUGUGUUGGGCCUCCGUCCUCCUCCCGGGGGACGGGCCCGAAAGGCAGCGGCGGCACCGCGUCCGGUCCUCGAGCGUAUGGGGCUUCGUCACCCGCUCUUGUAGGCCCGGCCGGCGCUUGCCGACACAUCAAUCUUUUUUCCAGGUUGACCUCGGAUCAGGUAGGGAUACCCGCUGAACUUAAGCAUAUCAAUAAGCGGAGGA